Molecule: long non-coding RNA, 503 nt
Organism: Drosophila montana
Lineage: Eukaryota; Metazoa; Arthropoda; Insecta; Diptera; Drosophilidae
Exons: 3
Source: RefSeq, a predicted model, not a curated record
AAUCGCGUGGAAUGUGGGAUCUACUGCUAGUCUUUUAGAUUCCCAGAGCACUACAUUCUGCCAAGCAGAAUACAACACUCUCCGAUAUUUUCCAGUAACAAGCAUCUGAAUUUAUUUAGACGGCUAAUCAGAUAUCAACUCUCUUCAACGUUAUCGUCCAUUUCGCUAUCUGUUGACUGCAGUCUUAACCAGCUUAGCAGUUUGCAGCUUACCUCAUAUAGGUACGUAGCCAAAGGAGCAUCGAUGGCAAGUGCCGAAAAGAUGAACUGGAAAGGCUGGGAACUUCCGACAGAAUUGGUCAGCUCGUUGUAGAUUAUGCUCCACGGAGCUAUACUGGCUAUCAGACCAAUGCUGGUCUAAAUGAGCUUAUCGUCUGUUACUCUUGCUUAGCAACUUUUAUCAGCGUUAGUAAGGGGCUAAUAGAAAAAAAAGUUCUGCGGCAUAGAUUGCACAGCUUGCGACGCGUAUGACCAGAUCCCGCAAGGAGUUCAUUAAAUGGAGCC